Molecule: long non-coding RNA, 2542 nt
Organism: Dunckerocampus dactyliophorus (ringed pipefish)
Lineage: Eukaryota; Metazoa; Chordata; Actinopteri; Syngnathiformes; Syngnathidae
Exons: 3
Source: RefSeq, a predicted model, not a curated record
CGUCACACCCACCAACAAGACGCCGGAGAAGCAGACGUGACGUCACCGAAUGGCGAUACGGUGAUGUUUUAGAUUGUGUUAAUUUUUCAACAAUCUUUUAGUGAAGCCGCACGGCGCCCAAAAUUAACAAGAUGAUGGUCAGCAGACGAGCUCUGGAGAGGAUUUACUCGGCGGUGUUGUUGGCUGUUGUGCUCCUGUCGUGGUCAUACGUCAUCUACGCAAGCAGGGUCGCAGCUCAUUGGCUGCUGGAGGAGAGGACCACCCUUCAGCGUCAUGACUGACAGCCAGCUACUUCUUAUCAGGCUGUCAGAUCACAACAUCAGAAACAGGAAGUGUCCACAGGCUGGCUGACUUCCCUGAGACCAAAGACCUCCAGAGGAGAGCAGGGGGUUUUGCUGCACAUCCUCAUCACCUGUUAGUGAACUGACACCAACAGGAGGAAGAACAGGAGUCCAGCUUGAUGGCAGUGUUGACCAGACACCUGGGAGGAAGUCAAGGAGGAGGACAUGCUUGAGGAGGAGAAGGUAGUCGAGGAGGAGGCGUGAUGAGGGGACCACGGGAAGAGACGUGAAGAAGACCCUAACACCAAUAGGGAACACUGACAAUGCCUAAUGCAGUUUGUUAUGAACAAAGUGGACUAAGGUUGUAUUGUGUCUUGAAACUUUACACUGUCGGGUCAUCUUUUUAACACUGACUUGGCUGCCAACAACUUCCUGCUCAUUGCUGAGCAUUUCAACACUUUGACUUUAAUUUGGACCCAUUUCCACAACAUUAUGCAAAAUGUCAAACAUGAAGAUCUCACAGUAAUGGCUGGUUAAUCUUUUGAGUCCAGCAGUGGUUCAAAUCAUUCGGCCUUUCUAGUUAUUCAGAAACCUGAAAAGUCAAUUAUGGGAGACUCAUUAGCAGAGAGGAAAGGAUGUUUUUUUUUUUAUUUUUAUUGUAACAACCCGUGUUAUUGUGAGGCAGGAAGAUGAUGGGUGAAGGGCGACGAAAGAUUGGGGGUUGCUGUGGUCUCCUACUUGAAGUUGACCGCUCUCAGCGUAAUGUCAAAGGGCAGUCCUCGCUCGACCAGCUCCAUCUUCAGCUGCAGCCAGACAAAAGUGCCGGUCAAAUUGUGUCUCAAAUGAUGUCUUACCUGAUGUGUGGAGGACAUUCUAAGAUGGUGGACCUGCGGUAAGAAGACCUCCCGGAGGUAUUCCUUGGACAGCGGGGACAAAGUGACGAGCCCGGCUUUCAGCACAGCCACAACUAGAGACAAAAGUCACACUAAGCUUCCAUUGGUUGACAGAUGGCAAAGUUGUUACAUCCUACUGUUGGCAGGAGGAAACAGGACGUUUAUCAUCAAUGGAUGACGGACAGGAAGAGGCUCCACUCACCAUGAUCAACGACCACAAAGACACAGCGUAUUUCUGAGUGGAGUUUACUGAGGAAGACAACAUCAGCGUGUAAGCAUGCACACAUGAAGUCAACUACACUUGACUCAGUCAUCACCAGAAAUACAUACGCCUCUGAAGUGCCAAUGGCUUGAAUAACGAAGCACACGGGAUGACUUUGGCCCACGUCGCUGUCUGACGGCCUCCAGGACAGCAUGAAGCUUCCGUUGGCCAUUGUCUUCUUGGUCAUAUUGGAUGGCCCACUGAACAGAAGCUCAGAAACACUGACAGACCAAGAGGUCUCAUUAGACUGAUUGAUACCGUCAAUCCAGUGGCCACUCUACAUGAAGGGCAGGGGCACCAGAUGAUGGUGUGUGUGUGUGUGUUUUUUAAAGAUUUUAUAUUGAAUACAUAGAAGUCACUCAGUUGCAAUGAAAGGUAGAAAUGUAAUCCUUACAGCGCUGUUGGGUUUUUUUUUGUGCUUUUUUUUUUGUUGCUCUCAGUCCUAACUGCUGUGUCUCAAAUGGAAUUCUUCCGUCAGUACACUUCAGAUAGUAUACUUUACUGUGUACACUGUGUACUUAGUUCACAUGUGUGUAUUUUGACAGUGUCCCUAAUCCAUUAAUGUCAUUGUGCGCUUAUCGGAAAUGUUUAUGGCAAUGCGGUAUUUUACCUCCUCCUCCUCUCUUUUUUUUAAUGGUGAAUUGCAACCACUUCAUGGAGCAUUAUCACCAACAUUUGGCUCACCCUAUAAAAUAGCUGCCAAUUCUCCAUCACACAAUUAAAAAUAAAUUUGUUAUGACUUUUUCUGGCUUCCGUGUUCCCUCUGCUUCAAAUGAGACAGAUUAUGCCGUCACUCUUUGGUAGUCCCGCACUUUCUGCUACAUAGCCAAGAUGGUGACUGUUGAGGGUAGUAAGUAUUCAUAACUGUGCACUGAUUUUGUGUGUAACAUCCGGAUACUGACAGUGCACUGCGUUUUUGACAUUGGUUUUCCCAUUUUUCAUGGGAAGGCACUUAUGCACUCAAAAGACAGUAUAAGUACUGAAGUAUGCCAAUUGAGUUUUCCAUUUGAACAUCCCAGUGAGUGUGCCUUGUUUUUCUAAACUGACCAAUGAUACACACGUAAAGUUCUGGAAUAAAACUAUUUGACUCAGCAAAGUAGAUUUUA